Molecule: ribosomal RNA, 472 nt
Filed under: uncultured delta proteobacterium
Lineage: Bacteria; Deltaproteobacteria
Description: bacterial SSU rRNA
Rfam family: Bacterial small subunit ribosomal RNA
Source: RNAcentral
CGUGAGUGAAGAAGGCUUUCGGGUCGUAAAGCUCUGUCAGAUAGGAAAAAAGUUCAUUAGUUAAUAGCUUGUGAAUCUGAUGGUACUAUCAGAGGAAGCACCGGCUAACUCCGUGCCAGCAGCCGCGGUAAUACGGAGGGUGCAAGCGUUGUUCGGAAUUACUGGGCGUAAAGAGCGUGUAGGCGGUAUGGUAAGUCAGAUGUGAAAGCCCUGGGCUUAACCUAGGAAGUGCAUUUGAUACUGCCAUUCUUGAGUAUGGGAGAGGAGAGUGGAAUUCCCAGUGUAGAGGUGAAAUUCGUAGAUAUUGGGAGGAACAUCCGUGGCGAAGGCGACUCUCUGGACCAAUACUGACGCUGAGACGCGAAAGCGUGGGUAGCAAACAGGAUUAGAUACCCUGGUAGUCCACGCCGUAAACGAUGAGAACUAGGUGUAGCGGGUAUUGACCCCUGCUGUGCCGAAGUUAACGCAUUAA